ACACAAAAUGACUCUCGGCAACGGAUAUCUCGGCUCUUGCAUCGAUGAAGAACGUAGCGAAAUGCGAUACUUGGUGUGAAUUGCAGAAUCCCGUGAACCAUCGAGUCUUUGAACGCAAGUUGCGCCCGAAGCCAUUAGGUUGAGGGCACGCCUGCCUGGGUGUCACAC
This 168-nucleotide ribosomal RNA is filed under the name Cologania broussonetii. RNAcentral's name for it is "5.8S ribosomal RNA". It matches the Rfam family "5.8S ribosomal RNA". From Rfam's summary of the family: 5.8S ribosomal RNA (5.8S rRNA) is a component of the large subunit of the eukaryotic ribosome. It is transcribed by RNA polymerase I as part of the 45S precursor that also contains 18S and 28S rRNA. Functionally, it is thought that 5.8S rRNA may be involved in ribosome translocation. The record is from RNAcentral. Lineage: Eukaryota; Viridiplantae; Streptophyta; Magnoliopsida; Fabales; Fabaceae.